CCGACUUUCUAGGACGUGUUUUAUGCCACUUCUUUUUCUGUCUCAUUUUGUCCACCACACUUUUAACGUUGUACAUGAGUGCACAAAGAAGACGGCCAGGGUGAAGACGGCGGUGACGGGCGGGGCCAGGUAGCUGGUCACGGACUGGAUGUACACGUAGAGCUGGCCGCUGUUGGCGGACUGUAAGAUGGGGAUCCAGACCACACUGAUCACCACCAGGACCACCGUGGAGAUCCUAAACCAAAAACAACUCACGAUGACGUCCGUUCACAGCUGGAGCUCGAUCACCUUUACAGUUGAAUCAUGCGUGUGCUGGAUGUUGUGUAAACGCCACCGCUCCCAACUGGUUUAACACCUGCCCACUAGAAGCAGCUCUCUCUCCGAGGCUCGCGGUCGCUGUUUCUUCCAGAUGUCCAUGGUGAACAGUGUGGAGCUGCUGUUGAAGAUGGAGGUCAGUGAUGACAUCAGAGCGGCCAUCAUCACCGCUAUCAUCAGCCCACGGAGGCCUG
Long non-coding RNA from Entelurus aequoreus (snake pipefish), 509 nucleotides. RefSeq lists it as uncharacterized. Lineage: Eukaryota; Metazoa; Chordata; Actinopteri; Syngnathiformes; Syngnathidae. The transcript is spliced from 3 exons. The record is from RefSeq and is a predicted model, not a curated record.